UUCACGGAGAGUUUGAUCCUGGCUCAGGACGAACGCUGGCGGCGUGCUUAACACAUGCAAGUCGAACGAUGAAGCCCUUCGGGGUGGAUUAGUGGCGAACGGGUGAGUAACACGUGGGCAAUCUGCCCUUCACUCUGGGACAAGCCCUGGAAACGGGGUCUAAUACCGGAUACCACUCCUUCUCGCAUGGGAAGGGGUUGAAAGCUCCGGCGGUGAAGGAUGAGCCCGCGGCCUAUCAGCUUGUUGGUGAGGUAGUGGCUCACCAAGGCGACGACGGGUAGCCGGCCUGAGAGGGCGACCGGCCACACUGGGACUGAGAC
This 320-nucleotide ribosomal RNA is filed under the name Streptomyces sp. VRA16 Mangrove soil. RNAcentral's name for it is "bacterial SSU rRNA". It matches the Rfam family "Bacterial small subunit ribosomal RNA", at positions 1 to 325 of the family's 1533-position model. The record is from RNAcentral. Lineage: Bacteria; Bacillati; Actinomycetota; Actinomycetes; Kitasatosporales; Streptomycetaceae.